RNAcentral lists this ribosomal RNA (301 nucleotides) under uncultured bacterium. RNAcentral describes it as "partial 16S ribosomal RNA". It matches the Rfam family "Bacterial small subunit ribosomal RNA", at positions 509 to 807 of the family's 1533-position model. The record is from RNAcentral.
CAGCAGCCACGGUAAAACAGGGGAUGCAAGCGUUAUCCGGAAUGAUUGGGCGUAAAGCGUCUGUAGGUGGCUUUUCAAGUCCGCCGUCAAAUCCCCGGGCUCAACCCUGGACAGGCAGUGGAAACUACCAAGCUGGAGUACGGUAGGGGCAGAGGGAAUUUCCGGUGGAGCGGUGAAAUGCGUAGAGAUGUGGAGGAACACCAGUGGCGAAGGCGACUCUCUGGUCUGUAACUGACGCUGAGGAGCGAAAGCGUGGGGAGCGAACAGGAUUAGAUACCCCAGUAGUCCCUGUCUCUUAUAC